This is a long non-coding RNA of Equus caballus (horse), 1655 nucleotides long. Lineage: Eukaryota; Metazoa; Chordata; Mammalia; Perissodactyla; Equidae. The record is from Ensembl.
AUGCAGGCCUAAAAGUAGCCUGAGGCUUGCUGUUGGGUGGGGCCACUCCCUAGGGCAGGCUGCCUGCCCUGGCUGAACUGGAUUAAAUCUGUGCUCUAGUGGGCGUGGCAGACCCCUGGGCUAACAGGCCAAGGGAAGAACCUCAAUGGCGCCCACCAGGGUCCCUGUCAGCACGCCUGGGCCAGCUCAGAACAACGGCCCCACCAAUGUCUCAGUCUCAGGAGAGGAUCCUCCUCUCACCAAGAUGCCCCCAGAGCCCACCAGGUGAGUUUUGUUUCACCAAAAGACUGUCAGCCUUCUCUCUGGUGAUUUUAGGUUGCUGCAAUGAGUGAGUUUGUGCGUGGGCCCUUUAAGACCCGGGUCUUUUCAGCUUUCGGCCAAUAGCUUUUCUGGGGGUGUUCCCACUACAGUCAAUAGCCAGCAAAGCCAGACAGCAAGAGCUGAGUCCGAAGGAUGCCUAUAGCAGUAUCGCCCCGACUCCGGACCUCACUCCUCCAGGGAGGGCUGCGUACUUUAGAGUGGCUCCCACCUGGACAGCUGAGAAGCUCCGCUGCCCCCAAAGGACGCCUGCCACAGCAUGGCUUUUGCCAAGUGGUGCCAUGUCCGCACCCGGGAUCAGAACUGGAGAACCCCAGGCCGCCGAAGCAGAGCGUGUGCACUUAACCGCUGGGCCACCAGGCCAGCCCCAAAUGGAGGAAUUUUGGACUGAGUGUUCAGAGAGAAAGGAACCCUCCUCUGCCAAGGAUUUGUGCCCUUAUAAAGGAGACCCCAAAGAGCCUCCUUGCCCCUUCUGCCACGUGAGGACAUAGCAAGAAGACGGCUGUCUGUGAACGAGGAAGCACCAGACGCUGCGCCUGCUAGCACUUUGAUCUUGGAUUUCCCAGCCUCGGAACUGUUGGAAAUAAGAGCUCGUUGUUUAAGCCACCCAGUCCAGGGAAGAUUAGCCCUGAGCUGACAUCUGCAGCCAAUCCUCCUCUUUUUGCUGAGGAAAUUUGGCCCUGAGCUAACAUCCAUGCUCAUCUUCCUCUAUUUUGUAUGUGGGAUGCCUGCUACAGGAUUGCUUGGUCUCUCAAGAUUCAAAAUAAAGUUAACUAAAGCUACAUUUCCUUGGUUCAGCACCACCCACAGCAUUUUAGACAGGGUAGUCAAUUUAAAUUUCCUGGGGAUUCACUCACUGAACCCAUGUGCUGAUGAUCAGUCACUUGGACUAUAUGUCAGCAUAUGUCAUGUCCUCUUCUGCUCUCUCCAGGCAUUGCAUGUGGAGCCAUUGAGGCCUGGUUGCUAUGGAAAUUUCCUCCACCAUUCCAAAGGCAAAUGGGGUGCCAUAUCAACCAAUAAAGAGUCAUCAAAUUUAACUGGGACAAAUACGUUUCUUCCAAAAUUGUGAAUCAAAUUUACAAAGCUGCGUAGUGUUAGGCUUUCAGUUGAUUAUAGACACUUCAAUGAUGGUUUUACUUUACCUAUGUAGGUAUGCCUGUGGGAUAGCACCACGUCCUGGAAAUCCUGGCGGGAAUCUGAAAGAUCUAGUAUAAAGUUGAAUUGUUUCCAAUGGAGCACAAACAUAUCAGAUUUUUUUUCUGGAAGAUGGACCUGCAUGCAAAAUCUCAACUUGAUUUUGAAGUGGCCAGACAUGGGAAAUAAUUGGGAAAAAUAAU